UGCACUGAUUGCCUGUUCUCUAAGUGUUUACAUUUUAUAGGAAAAUGCUCCGUUUGACUGUCAGGGUAAAUGUUUUAUAAAUUUAUAUUGGAAUUAAAUGUUAAAUGCUGUUCUCUACACCGUUACGUCUGUCACAUUUAUUGUGGUACAAGAUUGUUUAAAUCUUUCACUGAUCAUUGUGUUAAACAUGAAAUAAUGUAGAAUACUUGGUCUGUAAGGCAGCCUCUUGGACUAGUUGGACAGGGCACACCAUAACAUAUGCAAAUGUUUUUUAUAUUUUUUAAUCCUUAGCACUGUCUCACAAAUCAUUUGCGAAACAUGAGAAUUCUAGUCGUGUGUCGUGUCAGCACCCAUGAAGGCCGGGAAGUUUGUAACAGGUAAGUACAAAGUCCACAUUAACAAAUGCUUUAUAAAACAUUACUAAUACAUCUAUAAAUCAUUGGUAUAUGUUAUCAAGAGCCCUAAUGUAAAGUGAAGACAAUUCAUUAUUUACGAAUGUCUGUUAAAUGUGAACAAACAUGGUGGCAACAUUAACAAAUACUUGUAAAUAAUGAAUAGUUUUCACUUUACAUUAGGGCUCUUGAUGACAUCAACUACUGAUUUAUAGGUAUUUAAGGAAUGUUUUGUAAAGCAUAUAUUAAACAUGAACAAGCACUGAGGUUGCCUUAAAUGACAGUUAUAAAUAAUGAAUAGUCUUCACUUUACAUUAGGGCUCUUAAUAACAUCUACUGAUGGUUUAUAGAUAUUUAAGGAAUGUUUUGCAAAGCAUAUAUUAAACAUGAACAAACAUUUAAGUCACCUUAAUAGACCUUACUUUAGGGUAACUUAUCUACAAAUAGAAUAUAAAUAAUGUAUAAUUUUAAUUACAAAUGAUUUAUUAAUCAUUUACAAACGUAUAUAAAUGGUUUGUUCAUGAUUAAUUUACUACUUACUAAUGCCUUAAUAACAACAUACAAAUGAUGUUUAAACAGUUUGUAAAUGUAAAGUUAUACACUUACAAAUGUCAAUAAACAGUUUGUUCAUGUUUACUAAUCAUCUACAAACUGCUUAUAAAUGUUAAUAAAUGCUUUAUAACAGGUGGUCAUUGUAAAGUGUUACCCUGUUUUGUCCUGGUUGAGCUGCAGAAAAUUGGCUGCCAUCCAGGACUUAAUGUCUAAAGUGCAGUUUAAAAGGGCAUCAAUUGGCUUGCUGUCAUCAGGAGACACGGCCAUGUACAGUUGUGCAUCAUCAGCAUAACUGUGGAAGCUGAUGCAAUGCCUACUGAGGAUGUCUCCCAGGGAAGCAUGUCGAGAUUAAAAAGAGUUGGACCUAAAAUUGUUCCCUGGGGAACCCCACACAUAAUUUUGUGGGUUUGCAGGGUUGUGUGUGUGUAUUGUGUGGAACAUUCAUGCCAUUUUUGGUAACUUUAUCGGCUAGAUUGAGAGGAGUUGCAUGAAAUUAUCUGAAACUUUUAUCUUUCUUCACUCCUCCCAGCCAGAAAUAACACUCGACACAUACGUUUUUUUUUCCCACAGUUGUAGACACACUUGUACUGCCUCUAACGAUGUGUUUAUCAAAGGAGAGACUUACAGAAUUUAAACACUGAGGCUCUCAGUGCAGCAAAGUGAUUGCUCCUCAUUGCAGCUAAUAGUGAUUUUCUGAAAGAAGCAGAAGGAACUCCUGCUUAUAACUUGCAAGUAUGUCCAAUCUAUUUCUGUAGAAACACCAAAAUCAUAUCAAAGCAUUCAGGAAAUCCUUAUGAAGACAGAGGUCUGCUUAUUUUCUGAUAGGAGCUGUCGUUUUGUCAGAAUAAGCCCAAAUGUGAGACCAGCAUUUAGACCAGCAUAUUAUUCCAGGGCAAGUCAUGUCCUAAAAAAUUGAGAGUGAAAGUCACCUUAGCAAUUUAGUGACGGGCAUGGCAGUUCUUUUAGAUGAACUGAAUCACUAGAAUCAGUUCACUAAAAAGAUUCAUUCAAAAGAUUCGUUCACCAAAUCAUUCAGUGCUUGGCAGUAGGAGCCUGUGAUUUCGACUCCCUGAACUGAUACACAGCUGAACUGCUCAGGAUUCAGUUCAGUUCAUAGCUUCUGGGACCAGGAGACAGGAGUGUUGUAGCUGUGUUACUUUGACAAACAUGUUUGUAAAAAUGAACUUGUUUAUAAAUCAUUAUGUUUUAAGUAUACUGUCCAAUGAUAUGCUAUUUAUCUGGUCUACUCUGUUAAAUGGGCUCUGUCUGUGAGUGAUUUGUGUACUGAACCUAUACCCCACACUGACCAUACACCAUUCCCCUGCAAAAUGUCACAAUCAGACAGUCACACAUUUUCUCAGGUAGUGGGUAGCUACACCACACAUUGUAAACAAGGUAGUGACAAAAUUGUUUUUUAUUGUUAUUCUGUAGGAACUAUACAUCACACUACAAAUAACCAGGAAAAAUACAAGAAAAACAGGUAUGGACUAACCCACAAUUGUGAGUGCAAAACAAAUCCUAAAUUAAGAGCAAAAUGACGAAAUAAAAACUACUGUAAAAGCUGUACAUUUAGAAAAUAUUUACUUAAAUAUACAAUAUAAAAGAAAUAUCAAAUCAAGAAGAAAAUGAUGAGGUAAAAACAAGUAUAAAUACUGUGUGUCCAAAAAUAUUAAAAAAAUAUCAACUUAAAUGUGCAAUGUAAAAGAAACCAAUAUUAAAUCAAGAGCAAAAUGACGAGGUAAAACCAACUAUAAAUACUGUGCAUUAAAAAAUGUUCAAAAAAGUUAGUUUUCUCCGGGGUACACAUGAAGACAACAUAUCCUGGUCUCCCUUUGUUGCCCCUGCCAAGAGCUUGCUACAGCUGGUGAGUCUCACUCUCUUCUCAUUAUUGCUAUUAAAACAAUGGGGAGAAACGGACCGCCAUGAAAGUGUAUCCCUCAGACGAAAAUGAUUCCGGAGAGUGUAGUUCAGUUCACUGACUGAUCGUUCACCAUGUGAUUCAAGUGCAUGUGCCGUCACCGUGCGGUCCCUCUUUCCCUCUUUCACUCCCUGCAGCGGCUCACCCGGCCCGACUGCUUGCUCGGUAAUGCUGCAUGCUAUGGCAGCUCAACUGAACUGAGAAAAGAACGAAUCACUUCAGAAAGUGAUGCGGUUUAGUAUGUUCACUCGCGAACGACACAACACCAAAGCAUAUUCUCCUCUGCACCAUACACCAAUUUAACCGAGUAGACAACUGACUACUAUUCUCAGUAGCUUAGGUCACUGUGAAACUUAUAACUUUAGAUUGGAACUUGAGACCGCAUUAACUAAGACCCUUGAUUAGGUUUCCUAUUCUCUCAGUCCCCAAAUUAUUACUAGUGAGGAUAACGACGUUUCAUUUUGAGUGGGGAAAAACGGAACUAAAUAACUACAAACAUCCAUGGCUCCAGUAUGUUGAACUGGACUAAUGGGAUCAUGAUACAGGAAGUGAAACCUGGAAUGAUGAUCCCAACUCUCUGGGAAAUCAACAAAUGCUCCCUCUCUUCAAGUGGAACAAGACACGCUCUCUGAAGGUAGAUAUACCUGAGACCCUAGACCCUGUCCCUCUCUAUGGUUGAGUUGGGCCCAACUUAACUGAAGGAUCAGUUUUUACUCCACCCACAGCAAACAAAAGAGCCAACUCAUACUGCAUCCAAGAGUAUCAUGUCUAGUUACUUGUCCGAGUGGUGAGGAGUAGUGGGAGUAGUAUUUAGGGUGUUUUUUUUUUUUUUCUCCAAGGCUCAGUUCCACCAAUUGAUUUGUCUACAUUUUUGCAUGUAUUUGGGUGAUAAUGGUCCAUUAAGCCUCUGGGCAUGUCACUUCCCAUUUCCAUUAAAGGUGGGGUAGGCAGGAUCUGAGGAAGUGCCAGUUUUUGGGAGAAACCUUGAAUGUAAACACGACCCAUCCCAACCACACACACACUGCUCCAGCCUACAAACACUAGUGCUCACUUGCAUCAUUCCAAUUAAAUUCAGGUAUAAUGCAGAUAAAUACUUCAGAUAAAUAAAUAAUUGCACAUCAUAAAUAAUUCAGACAAUUGCAGGACUUCUAAAACUAGGAUAAAAUGACAUACUCCAAGACCUGAUGUAAACAGUUUAGUGGAGCUGCAACACGCAGCAAGCCCCGUUUGACAAGAAACACUUCUGUUACAGACACUUAGCUUACUCUGUUAAAGCAGUUUACCUGUCCAGCAGAAAGGUUACAGGGUCUGUAAGAUCCCAAAGCCUCCCCCAUUAUUUAUAUUGACCCGGGUUUUUAGCUCUUGUCCAGUCUACCUCCUUUUUAGGUGCCUGUUAUUCUGCCAGUCUCCGGUAUUUAGUUAAUUUUCUUGCUUGUGUUGGCAGUCAUGACCAAAGGAGGAUUCAGACAAUUUUCCCUACUUUCUGGUUGGUUUCUACUGUCUGAUACAACUUUGUUUGGGCUCGUGGUUGUUAUUUAAGGACAUGGAGCAUGCCUAACAACACAAGGGAGCAGUGUCUGCCCCACAACCAAUUAGCACUAAGGAGCAGUGUCCACCUCACAACCAAUCAGGUCAGGGAGGUGGAGAACGGCUUUGGUUACAGUCAGAAUGAACAGGGUGCUCAAAAGUUUUAGAAUAUUGACUACACAGGCAUAAAGAACCUCAGCGAUACUAACUAACUAAUAUUACCAAAUGUAAUCAAUAAUUAAUAGCUAUUGACUGAUAUUAAAAGCUUUUUUGUAUAUACACCACAAAAACAGAUGCUUCUUUAACGGAGUCCUGCUUACCCCACCUUUAAUGCUUUGUGUCAAUAUCAAACCAAAAUUGGGUCAUUCGCCUCAGCAAAAUGUAUAGUAAAGACAUUAUAUUGAUUCUGCAUUAGAUUUACACUUCAGCAUGUCCACAAUAGGAGCUGGGAUUUGAAUUCCCAGCCUUACAACUGAGGGACAGGUGACUCGACCAGUAAGAAACUGUCAUAUCCGUCCAUUUCUGUUAAGUAUUUUGUUUUACCUUCCUGUUUUAUGUCUUGUGCCUCCUGUUUUAUUUUGUGAUCACUUACCAUUGUCUCUGUUUCAGGUUCCGGUCUGCCCUGCCCCACCUUGUCUUGUUGCCAGUAUGUUGUUCCCCGGUUCAUGUCCCAGCAUCUCUUAUGCUCAAAGUCAUAGUCAUGUUUGAUACUUUUUGACCUUGCCUUUUUCCUCAUGUUUGUGGAAACAUCUGCCUUGUUUAAAUGCCUUUUUAUGUACCGAACUCUGUCUGCAAAUACACUUCGCCUUUGGUUUUUGGAGCGUACUCUGUGUCAUGAAUUUUAGUCCUAUUCUGUUGCUUCAUUUAUGACAGAAACAGCUGUCGAUGUUUCCUCAUUUGUAAAUUCUCAUCAGAACCAGAGGAAGUUUUGCAUUCUCUAGGCUAAAGAGUGUCCCAAAGCUCUAGCUACUGCUUGGAGAAGAGAGGAUCAGACUUCAAUUUAUUACUGCAAUUUUGUGACAAAAGACAACAUAGAUUUAUAUGAUAUGAUAUGAUGAUAUAUUACUUUAUUAGUUAGCUUACGCUGAAAUUUGUCUUGUGACAACAGCAGCAUGUAUGCAAAAAAGGAGGCACAUACACACAUUUGACAUGGACACCAGAGACACAAAAACAUACAUUACAUACAUAAAGACAUGAGGACAGGGGGCAAAGUCCACCACCCUGCUUACCCCUGGCCCAACUCCUGAUUAAGCCUUAAGGUCGACUGGUAGACAAAGGACCUUUUUAGUCUGACUUUAUUGUAUGCUGGAACACCAUAUCUCCUUCCUGAGGGCAGCAGCCUAUAUUCUCCAUACAACACAUGGCUAGAGUUUGAGGUAAUAUUUCUUACUAACCUUAGGACACUGCUGUCAUACGUAGAUUCAAGUAUAAGAGAGCAGGAGCCAGAAGCAUUGCAUGUGAGGGAUGCAUGACUACAAUAUAAACAACAUGGACUGCCCAUCUCUCCAUGUCAAGGCCACUCCUGUUCCAUUCAUUGUUCACCACACAUGGACUUGGGAAUUAGAGUCCCUGUGCAUGGGCCAUGUAGUGGUGUGACUGAUAGAAAUAUCCAUGUCAACUGCCCCGCAAUCAAUCAAUCAAUUUAUCAAUCAAUCAUUUCAUUUCAUUUAUUUCAUUUAUUCAUUUAUUUAGACAGGACAGUACCAGUUCAUGGACAAGGAGAAGAAGACAUGAUACAAGAAAUAUGUAUGUCUAUUCUCAUUGUAAACCAGCCAGAGUUAGCUAAGGCUAAUUUCCAUCCGUUGUCCUCAAACAGAAAAGCAACAACAACAGACAACAAUACAGUAGCGGACGACAAACACGACAAAUAUAAAAACAGAGGCAGAGGAGACCACUGGUGGAAGGUGCUUAGUGCAUAGAAAGUGCCUAGUGCUUCAAAGAACCAAGUGCCUUAAAGUGCCUAGUGCCCGGGUUUGUAAAUUUAGCCACUGUAUUAGCUGCCUUUUAAAGGUAGUGUAGGUGGGAGUCUCUCUGAUUAUUGUUGGGAAUCUUUGUUCAUAUCGAGUCAAUUCACAUCAGCUGUUAUCCCAAGACACUUGAAUGGAUAAAGAGCCAUUGGUUAAAGGGAAGGUCUCCUCACUUGGAGAACCACACCUACAGUUGUUGUUCUCCUGAGUAUCACCUUUGCAUUAUCUUUCAAUGUUGCUGAUAAUCACCCUGGGCCAAUCCCAUUCCAGGAGCGCUGCUUUUUCAGCAUUAUGCUAAUGAAAAUGUAUCUUUCCUAUGGCAGGACCCGCAGAUCCUACCAAAGGCAUGUUUCUUUCAAGCUCAAUCAAGCUUUAGUGCACUCGCAAAGUCCCUCCCAGAUCAGGAAGGACACACAUAGGUGCGGUGUGGUGUGGUCAGAAAUGUUGAACUACUGCUUUCAUGGACUCUCUGUCUUGAUGUUUCAGGUUGAUAUAAUCAAUCAGUGGAUGACUUUGUGACGUGGAGUGGAGUGGAUGCAAGAUACAACCUCCUGUUCUGUAUUGUUUAUUUUGAAAAGAUAAGAAAUCCAUAUUAAAAAAAAAAAAAGAAAACUACCAAAUGUUUACAACUCCAAACUUCAUUCUCCAUCAAUAAAAUGGAAAAAGAGCUGUUAAGGGGUGGCAGUUGCUCAGGAAGUAGAUAAGUUGUCCAAGAAACGGAAGGCUGGCGGUUCGAUUACCCCCAUCCUGUGUCCGUCUGUUGUGUCCUUAGGCAAGACACUUAACCCACUAUGCUAAACUCACAAUCAUACACUAUGGUGUAUGAUUGUGAGUGUUGUAUAGUGGUGGUCGGAGAGGCUGUAGAUGCAGCCUGGCAGCUACAUUUCCGUCAGUCUGACCCAGGGCAGCUAUAACUACGAAGGUGGUUUACCACCACCAAGGUGUGACUUUGUGAGAGAAUAAUUGAUGUAUCCAAUGUAAAGCCCUUUGAGGGUCCCUGGUAAAGCGCUUUAUGAAAUCUGGUGCAUUAAUGUAAUUUAAUAAUAUAUUAUCAACCCCACAUGCUAGGUUUAAAGAACCCAGCAGAGAAGUUAUUGUGAACCCUUAGUUGGGUCAUAUCAACAACCCAAUUUGGAUAUACAAACAACCCAGUUGUUGGGUAAGGUGUGCCAACCCAAUUAGUUGGGUAAAAUUAACCCAGCAUUUGUUCUGUCCAAUAUUUAACCAGUGCUGGGUUGGGAAACUACCCAAAUUGGGUUAUUUUUAAGCCAAUGUUUUUAGGAGCGUAUUGUCCUUCCAGGACCAGCUUUAGAGUGUUCAUUUAAGCUGAUUAGUGCCGUGAGGUUACAAUGUGUUAACUAAUCUUAACAAUGUCUUAAGUACAAUUUCCUCUUUGAAAGGUUGGGCCAGUCAAGUACCUGCACUACGAAGCCACGCUGUUGUAACACAUGAAAAAGACGUUGGGCUCUAUUUUUGUGUCCGCCGGCAACACCGUGGAGGGUGGCAGACCCCGCACAGAGGUAUUUUCGUCUGGCAGAGCUCGGCGUACAGCCAGUUAGGUAUUUUCGUAGACUGAGGUGCACCGAGGUCUGCCGAGCUGGGCAUGGUGGCGCAGUCAGGGGAGAUGUCGACAGAAUCAGCUGGCGCGGUGACAUUUUCGUGCUCGGCGGUGGCGUAAAAAGCGCGCUGAAAGCUCGCAGAUUCAAAACUGGUCAGCUUUCAGCACAGGUGGAGCGCAGCUUGUCUAGUGGUAUUUUGGUAGACCGGCAGCGUAUAGGCAUAUGUCACCGAUGCCUCACUGGUUGCUUGAAUGGCAGCAUAUGCUGCUCUAAAACCUGUCAAAACCUUUCAGCAUUAAUGUUGCCUUCACAGAUGUGUAAGUUACCCAUGCCUUUGGCACUAAUGCACCCCCAUACCAUCACAGAUGCUGGCUUUUGAACUUUGCAUCAAUAACAGUCCGGAUGGUUCUUUUCCUCUUUGGCCCGGAGGACACGGUGUACACAAUUUGAAAAACAAUUUGAAAUGUGGACUCGUCAGACCACAGAACACUUUUCAACUUUGCAUCAGUCCAUCUCAGAUGAGCUCGGGCCUGAGCCCAUGUGGCGAUAUCCUCUUUGUAGUGAACUCAAUUGAAGAUUGGUUGAAAAGGCUUUGCAAAUCAGUGCAUUUUGUUUUUAUUUACGUUUAUCACAAUUUCCCAACUUUAAUGGAAUUGGGUUUUGUACCUUAGUAGUCAGAGCUGCCCUGGGGCAGCCUGAUGGAAAAGUGGCUGCCAGUUUGCAUCUACGGCCUAACCAACCACCACGACACAACACUCACAAUCAUACACCAGUGGAGGACACACACUGGGAGCAAGGUGGUUUAAGUGUGUCCUGUGUGUCCUGCCCAAGGACACAACAGAGGGAGGACACACUUGGGAUAGCGGGGGAUCAAACCACUAAACUUCCAGUUAUUGGACAACCGCUCUACCUCCUGAGCAACUGCCACCCCUUACCAGCUCCCUGUCCAGCUUACUGACAAAGAAUGAACUUUGGAGUUUGUAAACAUUUGCCAGUUUUCUUUUUUUUAUAUGGUUUUCUUAUCUUUUCAAAAUAAACAAUACAGAACAGGAGGUUGUAUCUUGCAUUCACUCCACUUCACUCCACAUCACAAAGUCAUCCAAUGAUUGUUUAAAUCAACCUGAAACAUCAAGACAGAGAGUCCAUGAAAGCAGUAGUUCAACAUUUCUAACCACACCACACCACACAUCAACUAACGUGUUAGCUUGCUAUGGUUGAGGCCCUUUAUGCUGCAAAUGUUGGCUAACCAUUAGCUUGCUCACCUACCAAUUGAUUCCUGAAGGCAGAAGCUGGUACACAAUAGUGCUUCACAAACAUACAUCUUAACAACAAAAUGAGGGUCUAUAUAAUAAUAUCAAGUCAUCUGUAUGUUAAAGCAAUAGUGGGAAUGUAACAAACCUUGCUUUGUGCGUCUCCUCGCUUCAGCAGUUGUGGCAUCAGUCUGGUGAGUGGGUGGUGCUUGGUUUCAAAUGCCUCAAUGUCUAACCAAUGUGUUAGGUAGUCCACAAUGAACCAAUAAAACUGUAGAAAUUACAACCCAACAGCGAAUAACUCUGUUCCCAACAUAAAUAACCUUGCAAAUUGGGUACUCAGAAUAUCAACUCCAUGAAAAUAACCCAAAUAAUAUGACCAACAGGCUCAACCUCGUGGUUGGGUUGAAAAAACAACCCAGCAUUUUUUUAUUUGCAUGAAGAUGCAUUAGUACUGUGGCAAAACAUGCAAGGUGCAAGUCUUUUUCUUUAAGGUAGUGUUUUUCACUGAGACUCAGUGGUGCCAGCAACUUGCAAGUAAAUCAAAAAUAGCCAAUAACAACAAUCAGACUUAAAAUCCUUUUUUCUAAGAGGCUGAUUUGAUGUUUCCAAUAAACUGGACAGUAACAGUUCUAUUGAUGCUCUCUGUCUCUCAGAAGUAGGCUAAGGGGUAUGAAUGGCACUCAUUCAGCUGUUGUAUUUAAGACUUGUUUCAAAAUACCUGCACUCUUAGCCUAAUGGUUUCUUAUUGUUCUGAGGGACUUUUUUAGAUGACAGGGCAGGAGUUGAAAUGCACCUUGAAAAACAGGGGAGCUGACAAAAGACCUCAGGACAAACACAAGCAUGUAGUAUUUAAUACUACAGUGUGUGCAUGAGGUUACUCUCCUGCCUACCUUCCUUUUAUCCUCAUCAUUGUCUGGCAGUUGUGUUUUGAUAGUUCAAGAAAUAUUGAUGAAAAGUAGAACAAGUGAACAUUUUCAUCUGUCUAACAUGACCAAAGUAUUAGGCACUGGUAAUCGUCCAUCAGGAGGGCAGAAGGUAAUCUGCUUUAGAGAAUCAGAGGAGGUUUUAAUACCAGGAUUAGUGUACUGCUGCUAAGAUGGUGUUGUAAUCACAAGCACAAACACAGCCAUAGCAACCACCCCCUCCUUAUUCUUUCUCUCUCUCUCUCUCUCUCUCUCUCUCCAUUCCAUUCUGUCUGUCUGUCUAUUUCUCUGACUGUCUCUCCCUCAAUUUUGGGCCUUUUACUCCUACUCUGCCACACAUCUAUUUUUUAGUCUCUCACCCCUGUGCUGGAUUAUACUUCUCUCUGAUUCUUUGAUUCUCUACAGUCUUCUAUCUCUAUUGUCUUUCUCGUCCCCAUUUAUUCUGCCAUUCCCUGUUAUUCUCAAACUCUUCUUCCACCUCAAAGUAUCUUCCCUUCAAUACUUGCCCUGCUUCAGCUUACAUAACCUUGGCCACCAAAGCGCUUUUACAUUACAUGUCACAUUCACCCAUUGUCAUCAUGUUAACACACUGACGGCAGAGGCUGCUGUGUAACACCCAUCAGUAUUAAUAAAUCCAUUCACACACCACUGGAUGCGGCCAGCGGGGGGAAGUUUAUGGUCAAGUGUCUUGAAGAAACCAGGAGACGUAAUAGGUGAAAACUAUCAGACAAGCUUCUGGUUAGCAAGUUUUUGGAGUCAAGACUAAGAGGACAAAGCCAAAAGUUGAUAAAAAGUGAUCUGAUAAAAGAGUACUUUAUGGAAAGAUUGUUAAAUUGGGAGCUAAAAAGCCGUAAGCCACACUCUUAAAAACAUUAGGUUAAAAACAACCCAAAUUGGGUAGUUUUCCAACCAAGUGUGAGUUAAAUAUUGGACAGAACACAUGCUGGGUUAAUUUUACACAACUAAUUGGGUUGGUUCACUUAACCCAACAACUGGGUUGUUAAUAUAACCCACCUAAGGGUUUACGAUAACUUCUCUGCUGGGUUCUUUAAACCCAAGAUGUUGGGUUGUUAAUAUUUAAUAUAAUAUCAAAUUACAUUAAUGCAUCAGGUUUCAUAUAGCACCUUAUCAGAGACCCUCAAAGGGCUUUACAUUGGAUACAUCAUUCAUUGCGUACAGCCAGUUUGGUAUUUUCGUGGACUGAACCGCACCAGGGUCUGCCAAGCUGGGCGUGGUGGCGAGGCAGGGGGAGGUGUCGACAGAAUCAGCUGGCACAGUGACAUUUUCGUGCUCGCCGGUGGCGUAUGUGUGCUGAAAGCUCGCAGAUUCAAACCUGGUCAGCUUUCAGCACAGACGGAGCGCAGCUGGUCUAGAGGUAUUUUGGUAAACCAGCGGCACAGUGUCAGGCACAUUUCAGUGCAAUAAAUAAUCAACAACAACUAAUAAUCUAAGUUAGCACAUACAUAUAGAUCUAUAUUGAUAUAUUGUGAUCUAUAUUUGAUCUGAUGAGCGCAUUUGGCACGCGUUUGGAUACACUACCUGACCGAAUCAACAUAGCUGAAACCGCAUUCAAUUAGAUUAAAUAUCUAGUAAAUAGACACACAUAAUGAAGUUAACAAGAUAUGUAAUUCGUCUCCCUUUCUUUCUUCCUCUUCCUCUUAUUUCUCGCGCCGCUCGACCUAGACAUGUCUCCAUGUCCUCUCCCCGUCCAGCUUAACAGAUGAUUUGUUUCAGUGAUCUGGGGCCUCAUGUAUCAACGCUGGCGGUGCCUUGCAUUCGCCAAGAUCGGCGCACACGUCCAGAUUUAUCAUCGCGACACGAGCGUCGGUUCCAGCGCUAAUCAACGCAAAGUGAGGAGGUGGUGUAGAAGUUGGCGUUGAGCCAAUACUUGCGUUGACGGCACUUUGGCGACGCUGUGUGGCAGUGUUUAGUGACUCACUAUGUGACAAGCGUUCACACAUUGCAGUGGAUUAACUGUUAAUCCGACAGGUGUUCGUGUUUGUGUUAAUGUGUAACACAUUAACACAAACACGAACACCUGUCGGUAUUACUGGAGGGGCUAAAAAAGAACUCAUACAACUACAACUACAAAUAGAGAAGACAACAUUCAACAAUGGCAGCACUUGCUCUCCUAGAAGACAUGGAAAACCGUGCCAUCCAACGUGAGCGUCACUUUAUGGAGCGGGAGGACCUGCUCCAGAACUCUGACGAGUGGCUCGUGAGCCGGUUCCGGCUACCGCGGGCCAUCCUCCUGGAGCUGUGUGAGGAGCUCCGCCCGGCGCUCCAGCGCACAACGGCCAGAAGCCGAGCGGUGCCCGUGCCAACGCUGGUGCUGGGCACACUCGGCUUCUUGGCCACAGGCUCCUUCCAGCGGGAGAUGGCGGACCGUUCUGGGGUGAGCCAGCCCACCAUCAGCCGGGCCAUGCCCACGGUGGUGGACCAGCUGAUCCGCCUCUCCCACAGGUACAUCAAAUUCCCCUACGGUGCGGUUGAACAGGCCAAUAUUAAAACGCAAUAGCCGGAUUCCCAAACGUAAUCGGAGCUAUUGACUGCACUCAUGUUGCCAUAAAAGCGCCGUCCGAUGACGAGUACGCUUACGUCAACUGUAAAGGCGUUCACUCGAUCAAUGUGCAGAUCAUCUGUGAUGCGCAGAUGAAUCUGCUCAACAUUGUUGCGAGGUGGCCCGGUUCAACCCACAACUCGCACAUCCUGUACAACAGCACUGUUGGGGAGAGGCUCCAGGCAGGUGCAGUGACAGACGGGUGGCUGCUGGGUGAGUAAAUAUGUAAUGAUAUAAUGUUAUUCAAGAAACUCGACAUGCAUCAGUGACUUGAAGCAAAUGUGUGCAACACUGAUGUAUUGUACUCUGUGUUUGAUUGCGAGUACUCGAUGGAUGUUGUGGGUUAUUGAUUGCUUAUUGCUUGCUAUUAUUACAAUAAAGCCCAAGACUUGACACACUAUGCUUUUUCUGAAGGUGACAGUGGCUACCCCCUCAGGACCUGGCUGAUGACCCCUCUCCACAACCCCCACACUGACCGAGAGUGGAGGUACAACCAUCUCCACUCUUGCUCUCGGUCAGUGGUGGAGAGGGCCAUCGGCCAGUUAAAGGGUCGGUGGCGCUGUCUGGACCGGAGUGGCGGCGUACUCAUGUAUCGUCCUGAGAAGGUGUGCCGGAUUGUGAUGGCGUGUGGCGUCCUCCACAAUGUGGCACACCUGCACCAAAUCCCCAUGGCCAAGUAGCACGUCGCCCCUAAUCACAAACCAGCAGCAGACAGAGGGAUGCGAGCUGAUCCCUGCCGGGCUGCCGUUCUCGCGUGGGAGAAUCUCAUCGCCACGAUGUGAAUGGGUAAGAAGUGAAUACACAGUUUAAUGAGCCAAAUUAUUUACUUUGUCCACCAGACGCUCGAGGACAUUUACAAGGCGGUCCAGCCGCUCAUUGAUCCCCGCGAUCCCCCUAAUUAUUUGUUCCUGUGAUUGCAGGACCGCCUCCGUGAGGACCCUUCCAGUGCGUCCGGGUGGUCCAGCGGAAGCGCCGCAGCUGGUGGACACUCCACCGCUUGUCGGCACGCUGGUGCUGGUGCUGGUGCUGGGGCCGGGGGUGGCCCGAAUGCCGCUGGUCCUGGCCGACGACUCUGAGCCGGCGGACGGGCUGCCGCGGACCGGGGUUACACAAGCCUGCCACACGGCCGACACAUUGAUUUCUGUGACACAAUAAAAAUAUUGGUUCAUUUCAAUUCCUGCUUCUGUGUAUCUGUUGCGUUUACAUCUAUGGCAAAGCAUGUGGACAUUUGUGUGACACGCCACUUACCCUCCGGCAGGCUGUCUGAGUCGCCACGGGUAGCGGCGACAAUCCCCCCCACAGAGGCACCCCCCAUAAUCGCCGACACCCGCUGCUCAAAUGGCGUGAGGGUCUCCUCCCCCGGACCCCCACCUGUCUGGCUGGUACUCCUCCGGAGGGCAGCUGUACGCCGCUUGACCUCCACCUUGAGGUCCGACCACUUUUUUUUAAUCUCCGCGGGGGUGCAUGUCUCGGAACCCACCGCGUUCACCCUCUCGGAAACUUUCUCCCACUCCAAGCAUUUUCGUUUUGCACUGACGCCACUGGACAGGCUGCCAAACAAAACGCACAGUCGCUCCUCCACCUCCGCCACCAGCACCUCCACCUCGCACGCCGUAAAUUUAGUUUUUCUUGUCAUUUUGUCUGCGUGCGAGGACAGGGAGACCCUAUUUAAAUAAAUCUGCAUAUUUAUAGGAGGGCGUAACGGGGGCGGGCCCGGUCUCUCCGACAUCUGCGCUCAAUUCCAAGCUGAUUGGGAUUUAUCAAGGAAACACACGUGGCUUUUGGCACCCACACACCUUGAUAAAUACAGAUUUUUUUCAGCGUGACGGACCUUGCGUGCACUCGUUUCUGGUAUGAGUCCCACGCAAGUGUUGAUAUAUGAGGCCCCAGAUGAGUUAUUUACUUUAUUUUUUUCACCGUCAUCAAGAUGACGCCCGGAGUAGGCGCCCUGGUGUUCUGGUGCUCAUUGUUUUGUCUGUUUUUGUGUGUUAACCGUGUGUCAUCGUGCUCCUACACCCGUGAGGAGCUUCUAAACAUCAGAUCAACAAGACCCACGGACAUUACAUCAGUUUUUUUGGCAUCUGCUGCUGAACUGGUCCACUUUUUGGCCAAAAGAGUGAGACGCUGGCGAAGGGGAAAGCGAGCUGGGGUGCUCGCGCAUCUCAAACAGCAAGGCACGCGUACUCCCUUACCUGGAUUUUCCUCUCCAACGUCCGCUCGCUCAGCAACAAGAUCACCAACUACAAGCCCAAAGCACCUCGUUCAACUGACGACCUAAAACUAGCCAACGGCUUCUAUUCACUCUUCGGAGUCAUGGACUCACAUCCCCUCACCCCCCACACAACUGGAAAUUCAACCACUCUGGUCCUCCCCCCCUCCCCCCGCUUCCCUCUCAGUCCAUGAAGAGGAAGUAAACAGACUGUUUCCACACAAGGCUGCUGGCCCGGACUGUGUCUCUCCUGCCACUCUGAGACACUGUGCUAAUGAGCUAGCUCCAGUCUUCACGGGGAUCUUCAACACCUCCCUGGAGUCAUGCCAUGUUCCAGCCUAUUUGAAGUCCUCCACCAUUGUUCCCGUCCCCAAAAAACUUAACGUAACUGGACUUAAUGACUACAGGCCAGUGGCUCUUACGUUUGUAGUCAUAAAGACCUUUGGACGCCUGGUUUUAUCCCACCUGAAGUCCAUCACCAACCCCCUCCUGGACCCUCUGCAGUUUGCCUACAGAGCCAACAGGUCUGUAGACGACGCCAUAAACCUGGCCCUGCAUUUCAUCCUGCACCACCUGAACUCCCCAGGAUCCUACGCUAGGAUCCUGUUUGUGCACCUCAGCUCUGCAUUCAACACCAUCCUUCUGGCUUUGCUCCAGAACAAGCUUUCCCUGCUCCAUGUGCCUGACUCCACCUGCAGGUGGAUCACAGACUUCCUGACGGAAUGGAGUCAGUGUGUGCGGCUGGGGAAGAAUGUUUUGGACACUCGGGCUCUCAGCACAGGAUCUCCACAGGGCUGUGUACUUUCCCCUCUGCUCUUCUCCCUGUACACCAACUGCUGCACCUCCAGCCAUGAUUCCGUUGAGCUCAUCAAGUUUGCUGAUGACACCACCCUCAUCGGACUCAUUUCGGAUGGAGAUGAGUCUGCCUACAGGUUGGAGGUGGACCGGCUGGUGACCUGGUGCAGCAGCAACAACCUAGAGCUCAACAGCCAGAAGACAGUGGAGAUGAUCGUGGACUUCAGGAAAGCCACAGCCCCCCUGCCCUCCCUCGACCUCACCGACUCCCACAUCACCACUGUGGACUGCUACCGCUUCCUCGGCACCACCAUCACCCAGGACCUCAAGUGGGAGCCAACCAUCAGCUCCCUCAUCAAGAAGGCCCAGCAGAGGAUGUACUUCCUACGGCAGCUGAGGAAAGCCAAGCUGCCUGUCCAGCUGAUGGACUGUGCAGUUCUACACGGCCAUCAUCGAGUCCAUCCUCAGCUCCUCCAUCACGGUGUGGUACGCCGGGGCCAUUGUUAGGGACAGACACAGACUGCAGCGCAUUGUGGGCUCUGCUGAGUAGGUGAUCGGCUGUAGCCUUCCAUCUCUCCAUGACCUGUACGUCUCCAGGACAAGAGCAGGUCGGAUCGCAGCUGACCCUUCUCACCCUGCACAUGGACUAUUUGAGACACUCCCCUCAGCCAGGAGGCUACAGUCCAUUCGGACCAGAACCUCCUGCCAUAAGAACAGUUUCUUCCCCUCUGCCAUUGGACUCAUGAACACUUUAUAACUCAGUCACUUUAAGUCUGUCACUUUAUCACUGGUCACUUUAGUUAAAUGUACCUUGGUUUUUUAAUUGCACUCCUCCCACUGCACUGUUUUUCUGUAUUGUGUAGUUGUACAUAGCCUGUUAUACUUACUGUACAUAGCAUUGUACAUAGCCUUUUAUAUUUUUAUACUUUAUAUAUGUCCUGCAUGCUCUAAUUAUUUUUUAUUCUAGUAUUUUAUGUAUUAUUCUCCGUUUAAUGUUGCACCAUCACGCCGUAAAAAAUUCCUAGUCUGUGAAUCCUGUUCAUUGACAAUGGCAAUAAAAGCCCUUCUGAUUCUGAUUCUGAUUAAGCCUACAUACAAAUAUUAUAAUAUUGAGCCAAAUUAAUUUUUUAUAUGCCAACAUCUAUGAAAGAAAGAGCCAGGCCACUGAGUGCGAUGUGUAAUUACGCACAGAUGGUUCCGAUUUUAAUGCCAUUAUUGGAAUUUAUGUUGUGAUCUGUGCGCACAACCCACCUUUGUCACGUGAGGUUUGAAUAUAUGCAACUUUAUGUAAGUGUCUUUAUUUGUGGAAAAGGGUGUUUGUCUUACUAGUGGGUCUAAACUUACACACACCAAAUCCAUCUGUGCUUAUAUAAGACAGUGUGAAGGACGCCCUCUGCAGCGUUUACAGCGACACUUGUUGAGGAGCUGCCUUCUGUCGCCAUCGUGUGGCAUUACUGUCUUCAGACAUCUCUUGAUCUCUUUGACUACUUCACGAAAAUUGUAAUACGCCUCGCUGGUGGUGGAUUUAAAGGCAAAGAGAGGAGCUGAUGUUAUUGGUCAAUACAGGUCUCGGCUGUUAAAAUCCCCUCCACGCCCGCUCUCCUCCCUCCCUACGACUCACGCCGCUGGGAGGAGCUGAGAUAGGGAGGGGGGAUACUUACCCCGGAAUGCGCCGCUCACCAAAAUACCAAAUUGUGCUUGGGGACGCCUUGUCAGCGCGGCGGACCUGACUUAUGCCCUGCCUGCGGCACGUCUCCGGCAUGCCACGAAAAUAGAGCCCAGAGAGUCCAUGAAAGCAGUAGUUCAACAUUUCUGACUACACCACACCACAUGUCUGAGGCAAUGUACUUUAUGCUGCAAAUGUUCACUAACCAUUAGCUUGCUCUCCUACCAAUUGAUUCCUUCAGGCAGAAGCUGGUACACAACAGUGCUUCACAAACUUACAUCUUAACAACAAAAUGAGGGCCUAUAUAAUAAUAUCAAGUCAUCUGUAUGUUAAAGCAAUAGUGGGAAUGUAACAAACCUUGCUUUGUGCAUCUCCUCGCUUCAGCAGUUGUGGCAUCAAUCUGGUGAGUGGGUGGUGCUUGGUUUCGAACGCCCGAACGUCUAUACAACAAAACUGUAUAGAAAAUACAACCCAACGGCUAAUAGCUCUGUUCCCAAUAUAAAUAACCUUGCAAAUUGGGUACUCAGAAUACCCAACAUAAAAAUAACCCAAAUAAUAUGACCAACAGGCUCAGCCUCGUGGUUGGGUUGAAAAAACAACCCAGCAUUUUUUUGUGUUAUGACCAAAAACCUGUUGUGAGCCUAAGUUAUAGCAAUAUUAUGCGACAGUAAAUUGUUAGAAUUCUUUUUUGAACUACCCUACACUCAUAGAAAUUUAAAUUUAAAUGCACUUUUACAAUGGCAAACCUAUAAAUUGCACAUUUAUAUUGUUGUAGGAAGUGUGAUGCAGCUGGCAAGACAGAUAUGCUUUGUGAAUUCUCAGGCUAUAAAAAGCCUUGUGUUUCUCACCCAAUUUAAGGUUCGGAAGGUUGGUGGUUGGAUUCCCCCCUAUCCCGGGUCUGUCCGUUAUGUCCUUGGGCAAAACACUUAAACCACCUUGCUCCAGUGUGUGUCCUCCACUGCUGUAUGAUCGUGAGUGUGGUGUGGUGGUGGUCAGCCUGCCCCAGGGCAAGAUUACUACUAAGGUAGUUUACCACCACCAAGGUGUGACUGUGUGAGCGAAUAAAUGAUGUAUAAAAUGUUAAGCACUUUGAGAGUCUCUGACGAAGUGCUAUAUGAAAUAUAGAAUAUAAAUAUAUUAAAUAUUAACAACCCAACUGCUGGGUUUAAAGAACUCAGCAGAGUAGUUAUUGUGAACCCUUAGUUGGGUUAUAUGAGCAACCCAAAUGGGUUAUAUAAACAACCCAAUUAUUGGGGUAAGUGAACCAACCCAAUUUGUUAGGUAAAAUUAACCCAGCAGGUGUUCAGUCCAAUAUUUAACCAGCACUGGGUUGGGAAACUACUCCAAUUCAGUUGUUUUUAACCCAACCUUUUGUGUAACCACAUAACUAAGAACCAUUCCGCCCUUAAGUGUAUUUUUCUUCAGAUAAAACCAUCGUUUUGGACUCUCCUGCCUGUGGUGCAUCAAAGAAAUCUCUUUACUGUUUUUAUAAGGAAAAGAAAAAUUAGCACUUUUUGGCUGCUAAAUGCCAAGAAAUGCCUAUUGGGCCCAUUUUCCCCACCAGGCUUAUGUAGUAGGCAAGAUGGUGAUGUCAUGAUCUGCACUCUGGCAAACCAUGAGGGGGCUCGUCUCAAAUUACAUUAUCCCUAAUUGAAAAUAAUGACUAAAUCAUGUUGACAGCCAGUUCAAGUGCAGUGAAGUUGGCUGGAAGCUUACAAACAACAAGAUUUUAUGCCUAGAAAUUGUAAAUCGUCCCAAAUAAAGCAUCCUUAACCCUUCUCCACAUUAAAAUUAAUUUGCUUCUAAUAUGCAGAAAUUGAUGUCAAUGAAUUGCAGACAUAGAUGGCCUCCACUCUGCAGUCUUCUGAAGAGUUUGUUUCCCGUGGUUUUAACAGAUUUAGUUCCCAAUUAAACUAAUGCUGAUUAAGCAUUUCCACUUAUUGUUACUCCUGUCGGCCAUUUUCUUUAUUAUUAUUAUUAUUAUUAUUAUUAAGUGGAAAUGCUGAUUAAGCAUUUCCACUUCCAUUGUUAUUCUUCUGUUUCUUUUUAAGAAGUUUUCACUUGACAUCACUUCCGUGUUACGCGGCAUGCGCGCAAAACAGAUGGAGGGCAGAAAGUGAGUUGCUGCUAUAUAGACCAGCAACAUUCCAAUGUUUUGCUCCGUUUACGGCUGAUCAAAUCGAUCGAACAGGGAAAAAAACCAAGCUUUUAUCGUGUGCCCAAAGUAGUGUUACACAAAGGGGAAAGAUAUAUGAAGCUGACUGAAAAACGCAGGAAAAAACGGCUAUUUAAUCUCUGCCUACGCCAGUGGUUCUCAAGUUUGGUUGGGGGAACUGUGAGGAGGUUGGCACUGGCGGAGCGGAGGGUGCGGGGGGGGAUGUAGGGGUGGAGUAGAUCUUGCAGGUGGGGGGGGGGGGGCCUGGUUGUGGAGUGCUUUGUGGGUGAGAAGGAGGAUUUUGUACUGAAUGCGUUGGGGGAUGGGGAGCCAGUGAAGGUUCUGGAGGACGGGGGUGAUGUGUUGGUGGGAGCGUGUGGGGGUGAGGAGGCGGGCGGCAGAGUUCUGGAUGAGCUGAAGUUUAUUGAGGAGAGUGGAGGUAGUGUCAUGGAGGAGACUGUUACAAUAAUCUAGACGGGAUGAAAUGAAUGCAUGUAUGAGGGUUUCAGCUGCGGGGUAGGAGAGGGAGGGGCGUAGGCGGGCAAUGUUUUUGAGGUGGUAGUAGGCUGUUUUGGUGAUUUGCUUUACGUGCUGAUUGAAGGAGAGUUUGCUGUCGAAGAGAAUACCAAGGUUGCGAUAGUGGGAGGAGGGGGAGAGGGUGGAGUUGUCAAUUCAGAGAUGAAAGUCUGUGACUGUGGAGGUGAGGGAGUUUGGGCCAAUGAUGAGGAGAUCUGUUUUGUCAUAGUUGAGCUUGAGAAGGUUGCUGUCCAUCCAGUGUUUGACAUCAGAGAGGCAGUUUGAGAGGGAGCGGUGGGUCUGGGGGGUGAUGGAGGUGGAAGAGAUGUAUAAUUGAAUAUCAUCAGCAUAGCAGUGGAAGUGAAGAUUGUGUUGACGGAGGAUGUGGCCAAGAGGGAGGAGGUAGAUAAUGAAGAGGAGGGGACCAAGCACCGAGCCCUGGGGGACACCUUGGGACACGGGCAGUUGUGGAGGAGCAGUUGUUGAUAUGGAUGAAGUGAUUCCGGUCUGUGAGAUAUGAGUGGAUCCAGUUAAGAGCGGUGUCUGUGAUAUUGAGGAGGGAGUGUAGGCAGGACAAGAGGAUGGCGUGAUUGAUGGUGUCGAAAGCAGCAGAGAGGUCAAGGAGGAUGAGGAUGGAGAGUUGGCCGGAGUCAGCAGAAAUGAGGAGGUCGUUGGUGACUUUGAUGAGGGCAGUUUUAGUGCUGUGGUGGGUGCGGAAUCCUGAUUGAAACUGUUUGUAAAGAUUGUUAUUGUUGAGGUGGGCUUUGAUUUGUGAUGCAAUGACACGUUCAAGGAUUUUUGACAGGAAAGGAAGGUUGGAGAUGGGCCGGAAGUUGGUGAUGUCGUCAGGGUUGAGUCCUGGUUUUUUGAGUGAAGGGGGAACAGUGGCGGAGUUGAGGGAGGAUUUGAUGAUCUGUGUGAUGAUGGGAGAGAUGACGGGGAGGCAGUGCUUGAUGAGGGAGGAUGGGAUGGGAUCCAGGAUGCAGGUGGAUGAUGACAUGGAGCAGAUGAUGUUGGUCACGUCGGUUGAAGAAACAGGUGAGAAGCGGGAGAGUGCUGAUAGGAUGAGGGGAGGAGCUGGGAAUGGAGGGUGGGGGAAGGGAGUUGUAGAUAGUGUUGAUUUUGGAUUGAAAAGAAGAGAGGAAUGAGUUGCACUUUUCCGGGGUGAAGGUGAUGGAGGUACUGUCUAUGGGGUGUAGCAGUUUUUUGACUGUGGAGCAAAGAGCCUUUUGGUUACUGGAGCCAGAUUGGAUGAGGUUGGAGUAAAAGGAAGAACGGGCGGAUUUUAGGGCUGUUCUGUACAGGUGGAGAUGGUCGGUGUAGGCUUGGAGAUGGAUGGUGAGGCCGGUUUUGCGGUAGCGACGUUCCAGUUGGUGUAUGUGUGAUUUCAUUUUGUGCAGUUCUGAGGUAAACCAGGGGGCAGAGUGUCUAAAUAAAACUGUUCUUGUUUUAAGGGGUGCGAACUGGUCCAGGCAGGAGGAUAGAGUGUGAUUGAAGUAGUUUUACAAAUAAAUGUAUUACUUCUAGUACUACAACUUAAACUUAUGCCACUUCUCACCUUCCUGCCUUUUAAGGCAAUUUCCUUCUUCAUUCAAACUUUGUGCAAUUUUAGGCAUUUUUCUAGCAUCUUUCAGCAUGAAUAAAAUUUCCUUUUAUAGAGCAUAUUCAUACUAAUUGUCCUUCAACCAAUUUAACAAUUAUCCAACUUCUAUUUCUUUUUCACACCUUCAACAGCUUUUACAUUUAUACCUUUCUCCAUGUUUUAUUAGCAAUUUAGCAUUGCUUUUUCAGCUUUCAGCACUCAGCAUUUCCACGCAUUUUCUGCAAGGAAAUGCAAUUCUUCUAGUUAAGUGGAAAUGCUGAUUAAGCAUUUCCACUUAUUGUUAUUCCUGUCGGCCAUUUUCUUUCUUUAUUAUUAUUAUUAUUGUUAAGUGGAAAUGCUGAUUAAGCAUUAAGCAUUUCCUGUUUCUUUAUUUAGUGGAAUCCCACUAUGUUAUUCAUAUCUUUAUUAUUAUUGAGUGGGAUUGUGAAGCAUUCCCACUUUAUGUUAUUCAUGUCUUUAUUAUUGAGUGGGAUUGCGAAGCAUUCCCACUAUAUGUUAUUCAUAUCUUUAUUUUUAUUGAGUGUGAUUGCGAAGCAUUCCCACUGUAUGUUAUUCACUUAUUUUUUAUGAUUGAGUGGGAUUGCGAAGCAUUCCCACUUUAUGUUAUUCAUAUCUUUAUUUUAAUCAUUAUUCAGUGGGAUUGCGAAGCAUUCACACUAUAUGUUAUUCAUAUCUUUAUUAAGUGGAAAUGCUGAUUAAGCAUUUCCACUCAUUGUUAUUCUCCUGUUUCUUUAUUAAACUUAUUAAGUGGAAAUGCUGAUUAAGCGGAUGUAUUUUUCACUUUUCUACCCCUUUUACUUUUUGAAAUAUUUUACUUUUUGUGCUAAAUUUUUCCCAUUGAAAUGAAUGGGGAAAUCUUCAAAUUCUACCUUUUUCUCCUCCACCUUCUCAGCCUUAUAACUUCAGCGUACUUUCACCUAGAGACCUCAUUUUUGCUUUAAAAUGUUCAUUUACUUUUUUGUGCUAUCUCCUAAAGUUUUUCCACAAUUUAGCAUUAAGCAACUCGUGGUUUUCAGCAAAUUUCAGGCUUUAUAAUGGAUGUGUAUCGGAGAGGCUAGAGUUAUGAUGUCAUCGCUAGAGUGGACAGCUGCUCUUGGAUCGACAGAACCUCGCUCAAAUAUAUCGCUACUACGCCCACCAAUUUCACUCUACAGCCAUAAAAAAUACAUAAAAAUGAUUUAAGGAAAUCCCACUAUGUGAAGAAGUUCUGAGGCCCUAAAUUCACUGCAGUUUGGCAGCUUCUCAUUCAAACAAACAGAUGUGGAGGUUGUGGAAAUCUGGGAGUCACUGGAUGCAUACUGUUCUUCAUUUGCCUUGGCAUUUUUUUUUUCUUAUCUAAGAAAGCAAAACGAUAGAUACAAAGACAAACAACGAAUUAGACACAAUAGAGAGGGGCAUCUGAGGGAAUACAACAGCACAAACACUGAGCAUGUAGCAAGGCCUACAUCACAUCACAAACUACAAAAAGGAGCAGUGGGGCUGAGAGUAGGACUGGGCGAUUAUAUGAUCGAUGAUCGCGAUAAAUUUCAGUUUGAUCACGGUGAUUAGCUGUGAGCAUAAUUACUCGAUCAAACAUGGCAGAAAUGUGCGUCACAACAGCCAAUCAGAGUCUGGCUUUUCCUGCUCACUUCUGUAAGUUACCGGAGAAGUAAGGAGAAAUAAACAGAAUGGCCGAACAUGGAGCUAAACGCAGAGCUGAGGGCAGCAAAUAGAUGUGAGCCGUGACUUUGAGUCAUCCUCAGAAGAUGUUAUAGUUGAGAAGUUGUUCAACGUCUCUCCAAAGUGACAUCGAGCAAUUAAGCGAUAAACCGGCAACACAACAGAUCAGUUUAAUCAUUUGAAGAAGUUCUUCCCGAGUGAUUAUGCGGGAAGCAUGAAAAUGUGAGCAGAGUCUGUACAGCCUGUCACUGCUGACGGUAUGAGUAGCAUUAGCAGUUUAGCCACAACUAGCGGUGCAGCCACCAGACCAAAGCAGCGAUCAAUCAUUUCCAUACCUGCCAACACUCCCGUUUUUCCCGGGACUCUCCCGUGUUUCAGACCUAUCUCCCGCCCAACCCCCGUAUUGUCAUUUCUCCCGGGAAUUUCUCGUAGCAUGGUCCACAUUCAUUCAUGAAUCGGUUCACUAUAUUUGUCCAAAGUUUCCAGACAACCGGAGAUAGUCCUGUGUUUCUGCUGAGCCUCACAGACAGUGGAUUGAUACUUUUACUUUACAGUUUGGGAUGAUUCAGGUCGGUUUCAGCUGUAAACUAUAUUAAAGCAGUGUUUGUUGCAAAAUGAACAUUUCGAUGAAAGGAAAACAAACGCGAGAUAUGCGAGAGUGAUGCGUUCAGGGCAGCCCCGGAUAAAAGAGUGCUGUAUUUCAUGCACAGAUGUUCAGAGAGCCUCAUAUGGGAGAGCAUGUAGAACAUGUAGUACUGUUGAGUUAAAAUGUUUUUUUAGAUUUUUUUAAGUGUAUCUUAUUCAAUUUGCGUUGUUAUUUACUUUGUAUGUUAAUAAAAUGUUGAACUAAUCUCUAGUUUUUUUAGUUUUUAGUACAGAUGCUUUAAAACUGGCAGUUAAAGAAAAAAAUCAUGAUAAUAAUCGAGAUCGGACGAUAUGACAAAAUAAAUCGUGAUCAUUUUUUUUGCCAAAUCGCCCAGGCCAAGCUGAGAGUGAUUUUACUGGUUAACAAGGUUCUUAAAACUAAUAACUCUUGGCUAUAGUAGAACAGAACUGCAAAUAGCCUAUUUGAAGUUUGCAAAAUUACCUACCCAUUGAGUCUGUAGUUCUAAGUGCAACUGGGAGUUUGUUCCACAUUUGGGGGCUAACAGGGCAAAGAGACAGCCAGCCAACCAGCCUACCGGACAUCCUCUGUUUGCAUCUACUACCUUCAACUAACCAGCCACACUACAAAGCUAACAUCAUUGUUGAUUAAUUUAGAGUGUAAAAAUAAUGGACACUACGGGGUCCAUUUGGUUCCUUUUGUAUGCACACCCACAAGGGGUCCCAUUUAGUUCCAAACUAUCAUCUAGCGGGGGACCCCUUGAAAUCCCUUGAGGGCCCCCUGAGGGUCCCCGGACCAUACUUAGAGAACCAGUGGUAUAGACAACUCGUUUAUAGCAUAACAUGCAUUUCACUUCAGCUGGUAGCUAAAACAUAUCUAAAGAGAUUUGACUACAAACCAUGAUAAAUAAACAUUUGACAAGAGCAGCUGCGUUUUUUCUUAAAAUUUUUUUAUCCAAGCUAGUGUGUACUAUGUUUAUCUGAGGUACUUUCAUGAUCAACGUGCAAACUUGUUUUGCCGAGAGGACGCUUGCCUGUCACAUCAAAACUGGUGACCUAUAGAAUUCAGUGACUGCAUUACAUAGGCAAUUUACAUAGGCACCGAAUGUGACAAGUUGUCACAUUCGGUGCAACUUGUUUUGUAAAGAAAUUCUAUGUGGUUUUAUACAAUCUAAUUCGGCCCCUGCAAGCCCUGGACGAUGUAGUGCCGUUGGUUUUGAACCCUCCUCCACUAACCCGAACGCUAGCAAGGCUAACGUUAACUAGCUACAUUGAUGUUUGUGAUCAGUUCAUCAUAGUAUUUUGCAGGACUAAAUAAGUAAACAAAUACACGUUCCAAGCAACAUAUAUGGCUUUUGUACAGUAGCUUACCUGUGCUGUCGCCUUCUUCCUCAUCUUCAAUAAUAUCUAUCGGCUUUGGACAUUCAGUUCAUGCUCGACGUGUAGCGGUGUUCAUUCUUGCAAACUUUGACCUUUGACCUUGAUUGAUUAUCGAUUAGAGUCAGCCGCCUCAGCUCAGCUGCUCAAGAGCUUGUACUAGACCCGCCCUUUGCGCGACAUGAUUGGCCAGUCAUCUGUCUUGAUUGACAUCUCUAGGAAGCAUUCUCCCUGCUUGCCUCUGAUUUGGUUGAAUGGCAGGAAGGGGAGCUCCCCUCUAAUGUGCACGCUGCACGCUAAUGUGACUUUUUUCUGUUUUUGGUUAUGUAUUCUGGCGGGACCAUAGAUUGUAUAUACUAUAUAUAUACUGUAUAUAUAUAUAUAUAUAUAUCAGUGGCGAUUGCUCUAAGACAGCAAGGGAAGCUCUUGCCUUAAAAUGUCACCCCCCCCCCCCCCCCCCCCCCAAAAAAAAAAAAAAAAAAAAAAAAAGUGGUGAAAUACGUACUGCUGUGUGUACAUUUCAGUAACUAAAUACGCACUAGAAAGCCUUCAUCUUUUGUUCAGAAUCAGCUUCUUAUCACACUGUGAUAAGAAGCUGCUAAAGAAAUAAUACCGAAAAGGAAGGUUAAAUGCUGUUCAUGCAGGCACAAUAUGAAGCUGAUGCUGCGGAGGGCUUGUUUGGAUCGAUUUGAAUGGUAUGUUUUUUAUUUUUUAACAUAGAUUGUAUGUUUAAUAAAAAAGGCUAAAAAUAUCAUUUACAUUAAUACUGUUAUAACGAUGACUGUGUGUGUGUGUGUGUGUGUGUGUGUGUGUGUGUGUGUGUGUGAGAAUGACAGAGAGAGUGUCUGUUUGUGUGUGUGUGUGUGUGUGUGUGUGUGUGUGUGUGUGUGUGUGUGUGUGUGUGUGUGUGUUAAAGUAGUGUAUAUCAAGUCAGUUGGGCACUACAAACAUCUGGGCACUGUGUGUUGGAUGACUGGGCACAACUGGGCUCUAGGGACAUGUGGGCACCUAUACAAGUGGGCAUUAAUAUUUUACCUUUUUUGAACUACUUCCAUUUCAUUGUUAUUUUUUGGUACUUCUCUUUUGGCAAAUACAGUCUUCUACACCCAACAUAUAGAGAGAGCCUGGAGAACAUAUAAGGAGAAGAUCUGGCGACUUAGAGGAAAGCAUAGAGGAGCUCCUUGAAGACCCCCUUUCAGUCAUUGAGUGGGAAGACUGGCUUGCAAGGAAACACCGUCAUGGCCCCUUAGGUCGUCUACUGCAUGACAUGCGGGUCAGGGGAUGAGUCAGGCAGGGACAAGAGUGUGUUGGUUUUUGAAAAAAUCAAAGUCCGUCCAACUGUCGUCACUCGCAGGAGGAGGCUUUUAGGCAGCUGAUGCCGAAAAUGUCUUUCUCUCUCUCUCUUACUCUCCCUCUUUCUCUCUCUCUCUCUCUCUCACUGAUUGACUGUCCUAGUGUUCAAAACACCUACCUCUACAAAGGGUGUUCAAAGUGUUUACAUUUGAUAGGAAAAUGCUCCGUUCGACUGUCAUUUUAAAGGAGUAGUUCACCCCAGAAAAUGACUUAGUCUUUCAAUAACUCCCCCAAUUGAUUUAAUUCAAUAUCUGUUUAGUUUUUGACACAUUCCGAAGCCAAUAAUUUGAUAACCGGUGGAGACUCAAGUAUCCCCUACUGACUGAUAAGCC
Molecule: non-coding RNA, 26919 nt
Organism: Xyrichtys novacula (pearly razorfish)
Lineage: Eukaryota; Metazoa; Chordata; Actinopteri; Labriformes; Labridae
Source: the annotation of a GenBank genome assembly